GGGUAUUGUUGUGGCAAGAAAUUAUUACCUAAGCUUGACGUUCUAGAGUACUUCCUCGACAGUGCAAAUGAUGUUGAAACUAAUCCCAUUGAUGUUUGUUGGGUCCUUGCUGUUCUGCAAUGCAGUUUGCGGUGACCCCUGCGACAGGGCCUGUUACAGGGACCUCUCCCUCGUCUGCGGGAGUGACGGGCAGACGUACAGGAACGUCUGCUACCUGUCCAUCCAAGCGUGUCGAUAUCCGGAGCUAAACAUCAAGGUUGUGAAGAAAGGAAUGUGUUAAGCUGAA
Long non-coding RNA from Physella acuta, 286 nucleotides. RefSeq lists it as uncharacterized. The record is from RefSeq and is a predicted model, not a curated record. Lineage: Eukaryota; Metazoa; Mollusca; Gastropoda; Physidae.